GCGGAAGUGGCGAAAUUGGUAGACGCACCAGAUUUAGGUUCUGGCGCCGCGAGGCGUAAGAGUUCAAGUCUCUUCUUCCGCA
Molecule: transfer RNA, 82 nt
Organism: Vibrio cholerae O1
Lineage: Bacteria; Pseudomonadati; Pseudomonadota; Gammaproteobacteria; Vibrionales; Vibrionaceae
Rfam family: tRNA
About the family: Transfer RNA (tRNA) molecules are approximately 80 nucleotides in length. Their secondary structure includes four short double-helical elements and three loops (D, anti-codon, and T loops). Further hydrogen bonds mediate the characteristic L-shaped molecular structure. tRNAs have two regions of fundamental functional importance: the anti-codon, which is responsible for specific mRNA codon recognition, and the 3' end, to which the tRNAs corresponding amino acid is attached (by aminoacyl-tRNA synthetases). tRNAs cope with the degeneracy of the genetic code in two manners: having more than one tRNA (with a specific anti-codon) for a particular amino acid; and 'wobble' base-pairing, i.e. permitting non-standard base-pairing at the 3rd anti-codon position.
Source: Rfam